RNAcentral lists this ribosomal RNA (466 nucleotides) under Pseudoxanthomonas sp. R-38407. RNAcentral's name for it is "bacterial SSU rRNA". It matches the Rfam family "Bacterial small subunit ribosomal RNA", at positions 13 to 472 of the family's 1533-position model. The record is from RNAcentral. Lineage: Bacteria; Pseudomonadati; Pseudomonadota; Gammaproteobacteria; Lysobacterales; Lysobacteraceae.
UUGAUCCUGGCUCAGAGUGAACGCUGGCGGUAGGCCUAACACAUGCAAGUCGAACGGCAGCACAGAGGAGCUUGCUCCUUGGGUGGCGAGUGGCGGACGGGUGAGGAAUACAUCGGAAUCUACCUUUUCGUGGGGGAUAACGUAGGGAAACUUACGCUAAUACCGCAUACGACCUACGGGUGAAAGCCGGGGACCUUCGGGCCUGGCGCGGAUAGAUGAGCCGAUGUCGGAUUAGCUUGUUGGCGGGGUAAAAGCCCACCAAGGCGACGAUCCGUAGCUGGUCUGAGAGGAUGAUCAGCCACACUGGAACUGAGACACGGUCCAGACUCCUACGGGAGGCAGCAGUGGGGAAUAUUGGACAAUGGGCGCAAGCCUGAUCCAGCCAUACCGCGUGAGUGAAGAAGGCCCUCGGGUUGUAAAGCUCUUUUGUUGGGAAAGAAAUCCUGUCGGUUAAUACCCGGUAGGG